RNAcentral lists this ribosomal RNA (841 nucleotides) under uncultured Fusobacterium sp. RNAcentral's name for it is "partial 16S ribosomal RNA". The stretch from base 1 to 607 matches the Rfam family "Bacterial small subunit ribosomal RNA". The record is from RNAcentral. Lineage: Bacteria; Fusobacteriati; Fusobacteriota; Fusobacteriia; Fusobacteriales; Fusobacteriaceae.
GACGAACGCUGGCGGCGUGCUUAACACAUGCAAGUCGAACGAUGAAGCGGUGCUUGCACCGUGGAUUAGUGGCGAACGGGUGAGUAAUACGUGAGUAACCUGCCCCCUUCUUUGGGAUAAGCCUUGGAAACGGGGUCUAAUACUGGAUAGUCCUGUGUCACCGCAUGGUGGUGUGGGGAAAGUUUUUUCGGUGGGGGAUGGGCUCGCGGCCUAUCAGCUUGUUGGUGGGGUGAUGGCCUACCAAGGCGUCGACGGGUAGCCGGCCUGAGAGGGUGACCGGCCACACUGGGACUGAGACACGGCCCAGACUCCUACGGGAGGCAGCAGUGGGGGAUAUUGCACAAUGGGCGCAAGCCUGAUGCAGCGACGCCGCGUGAGGGAUGACGGCUUUCGGGUUGUAAACCUCUUUCGCUACCGAACAAGGCUCUGCUUUUUGGUGGGGUUGAGGGUAGGUGGAUAAGAAGCGCCGGCUAACUACGUGCCAGCAUCCGCGGUAAUACGUAGGGGGCAAACGUUGUCCGGAAAUUAUUGGGCGUACAAAGCUCCUUAUUCACUUGUUCCAUCUGCUUUAAAACGUAUUGCUUAAAUCUUACUAAUGACGUCUUAUGUUGUAUUUUUAUUGUAUGGGUGAUUAGGAUUCAUGGGCUAAAUUAUACUAUAAAAACAUCAAGCGAAAUGGAUGCUAAGGGGGCGCACUUCUCCUUUUGAGGUCGGCCGUGUCUGUCUGGUUAACGAUAUUUUAUAUAUUAACUUGAUAAUUUCUUUUUCGUCGCUUUUUGCAUCACUCUUCACUCUCCCCUUCGCCCCGCCGCUAAUAAUAAAAAAAUUAAAUAAAAAAAUU